UAUAUAAUAAGCUAAAUAAUAAGCUUGUAGGUUCAUACCCUAUCGAUAAAUUCUACAAUUUUUAUAUAA
RNAcentral lists this transfer RNA (69 nucleotides) under Bombus pyrosoma. RNAcentral's name for it is "tRNA-Met". The record is from RNAcentral. Lineage: Eukaryota; Metazoa; Arthropoda; Insecta; Hymenoptera; Apidae.